GAGUUUGAUCCUGGCUCAGAACGAACGUUAGCGGCGCGCCUAACACAUGCAAGUCGCACGAGAAAGGGCUUCGGCCCCGGUACAGUGGCGCACGGGUGAGUAACACGUGGGUAAUCUGCCUUCGGGUGGGGGAUAACAUUCCGAAAGGAGUGCUAAUACCGCAUAAGACCACACCUCCGAAAGGAGAAGCGGUCAAAGCUGGCCUCUAUACAUAAGCUAGCGCCUGAAAAUGAGCCCGCGGAGCAUCAGCUAGUUGGUGAGGUAAUGGCUCACCAAGGCUUAGACGCUUAGCUGGUCUGAGAGGAUGAUCAGCCACACUGGAACUGAGACACGGUCCAGACUCCUACGGGAGGCAGCAGUGGGGAAUCUUGCGCAAUGGGCGAAAGCCUGACGCAGCGACGCCGCGUGAGUGAUGAAGGCCUUCGGGUUGUAAAGCUCUGUGGGGAGAGAAGAAUAAGUGCGGGCUAAUACUCCGCAUGAUGACGGUAUCUCCUUAGCAAGCACCGGCUAACUCUGUGCCAGCAGCCGCGGUAAGACAGAGGGUGCAAACGUUGUUCGGAAUUACUGGGCGUAAAGCGAGUGUAGGCGGUUCGGUAAGUCGGAUGUGAAAGCCCCGGGCUCAACCCGGGAAGUGCACUCGAUACUGCCGAGCUAGAGUAUCGGAGAGGUUGGUGGAAUUCUCGGUGUAGAGGUGAAAUUCGUAGAUAUCGAGAGGAACACCGGUGGCGAANGCGGCCNACUGGACGAANACUGACGCUGANACUCGAAAGCGUGGGGAGCAAACAGGAUUAGAUACCCUGAUAGUCCACGCCGUAAACGAUGGGUGCUAGGUGUCGCGGGCUUUGANUCCUGCGGNGCCGUAGCUAACGCAUUUNAGCACCCCGCCUGGGAAGUACGG
This 898-nucleotide ribosomal RNA is filed under the name uncultured bacterium. Its description in RNAcentral is "bacterial SSU rRNA". It matches the Rfam family "Bacterial small subunit ribosomal RNA", at positions 9 to 885 of the family's 1533-position model. The record is from RNAcentral.